RNAcentral lists this ribosomal RNA (221 nucleotides) under uncultured bacterium. RNAcentral's name for it is "partial 16S ribosomal RNA". It matches the Rfam family "Bacterial small subunit ribosomal RNA", at positions 129 to 334 of the family's 1533-position model. The record is from RNAcentral.
CCCUUCAGAGGGGGACAACAGUUGGAAACGACUGCUAAUACCGCAUACGAUCUAAUCUCGGCAUCGAGGAUAGAUGAAAGGUGGCCUCUACAUGUAAGCUAUCACUGAAGGAGGGGAUUGCGUCUGAUUAGCUAGUUGGAGGGGUAACGGCCCACCAAGGCGAUGAUCAGUAGCCGGACUGAGAGGUUGAACGGCCACAUUGGGACUGAGACACGGCCCAG